Paramuricea clavata is the source of this 111-nucleotide non-coding RNA. Lineage: Eukaryota; Metazoa; Cnidaria; Anthozoa; Malacalcyonacea; Plexauridae. The record is from the annotation of a GenBank genome assembly.
GUCCGCGAUGAAUUGAAGUAGGGCGACCUGAUAGGGAAAAAUCAUGUUCUAGUAAUAAUACUGGAACAUGAUUUUUCCCUAUCAGGUCGCCCUACUUCAAUUCAUCGCGGA